CUCUCCUUCACACACCUGGACCUGCGGUACCUCUCCUUCACACUGGACCUGGUACCUCUCCUUCACACUUGGACCUGUGGUACCUCUCCUUCACACUUGGACCUGUGGUACCUCUCCUUCACACACUUCGACCUGCAGUACCUCUCCUUCACACACCUGGACCUGCGGUACCUCUCCUUCACACCUGGACCUGUGGUACCUCUCCUUCACACUUGGACCUGUGGUACCUCUCCUUCACACUUGGACCUGCGGUACCUCUCCUUCACACUUGGACCUGUGGUACCUCUCCUUCACACACUUGGACCUGCGGUACCUCUCCUUCACACUUUGGACCUGUGGUACCUCUCCUUCACUCUUGGACCUGCGGUACCUCUCCUUCACACACUUGGACCUGCGGUACCUCUCCUUCACUCUUGGACCUGCGGUACCUCUCCUUCACACUUGGAUCUGUGGUACCUCUCCUUCACACACUUGAACCUGUGGUACCUCUCCUUCACACUUGGACCUGUGGUACCUCUCCUUCACACACUUGGACCUGCGGUACCUCUUCUUCACUCACUUGGACCUGCGGUACCUCUCCUUCACUCACUUGGACCUGCGGUACCUCUCCUUCACACACCUGGACCUGCGGUACCUCUCCUUCACACACCUGGACCUGUGGUACCUCUCCUUCACUCACUUGGACCUGCGGUACCUCUCCUUCACACACCUGGACCUGUGGUACCUCUCCUUCACACUUGGACCUGUGGUACCUCUCCUUCACACACUUGGACAUGUGGUACCUCUCCUUCACUCACUUCGACCUGCAGUACCUCUCCUUCACACACCUGGACCUGCGGUACCUCUCCUUCACACCUGGACCCGUGGUACCUCUCCUUCACACUUGGACCUGCGGUACCUCUCCUUCACACCUGGACCUGUGGUACCUCUCCUUCACACCUGGACCUGUGGUACUGCUCCUUCACACACUUGGACCUGCGGUACCUCUCCUUCACACACUUGGACCUGCGGUACCUCUCCUUCACACUUGGACCUUUGGUACCUCUACUUCACACACGUGGACCUGCGAUACCGCUCCUUCACGCACUUGGGGUGUAUCAGCUGGUCCAUCAUCCUGCUCUCUCCCACCACCUGCACCGGGUCCAGAUGAUCUCAGGAUGGACCGGGCCUUCCUCCUGUCUGCUGCUGAGUUGCUGCUGCUCCAUAGAAGAUGAUUCCACCACAGAGUCACAGAAAGAGGUCAGGAGGUCCUCUGCAGUCAAAGGACCUGAGCUCAGCAGAUGGACUCUGCAGAUGGACUCUGCUCUGACCUUUCUUAUGUGUCACUGCAGUGUAAUCAGUCCAGUCCAGUUUAUUGUUCAGGUGAACUCCCAGGUACUGUAA
RNAcentral lists this long non-coding RNA (1383 nucleotides) under Sparus aurata (gilthead seabream). RNAcentral's name for it is "lncRNA (ENSSAUG00010001829.1)". Lineage: Eukaryota; Metazoa; Chordata; Actinopteri; Spariformes; Sparidae. The record is from RNAcentral.